Long non-coding RNA from Ostrea edulis (European flat oyster), 1208 nucleotides. RefSeq lists it as uncharacterized. Lineage: Eukaryota; Metazoa; Mollusca; Bivalvia; Ostreida; Ostreidae. The record is from RefSeq and is a predicted model, not a curated record. The transcript is spliced from 3 exons.
GAGCCAUGGCCAUGUCAAACCCAAGACGUAAACGCUCCUUCACCAAACACUUGGUGUGUAAAGAUGAAAAAACAUAGGUCCAAUGUUUCAACUAAGAAUAGGUCUAAAUUUGUGGUACUUCACCUAACAGUUGGUGAUAUCUCAGUAUGAGGGGGAAAUUCUUACAGGGACGUAAAACAAAACAAACUAACAAUAAAGUACAAAUUUUAAGUAUGUAAGCUAUGCUUUAGUCUGAAUAAACCAUAUGUAAGGUACAGCUAAUCUUUCAUAGUCACAAACCAUGUCUAUUGUCUCCAUUCACACUACAUCAUAGCAGUUUGAGGUAGGGUAGGUACUCCCAGACUCAGUAGUGAUGUUGCUAAUCUUUUAUGCUUUUCUGUAGAUGAAUUGUGAAGAAUGCACCAGACACUUUCAUAAAAAAAACCACUGUGUUGGGGAGGAAAACAUUUCAAAAAAUAGCUUUAUCUGCAGGAUGUGUUCCAUUCGAUUUUGGGGAGAAAAUGACAAUAAAAAAUCACCUGGAAAAAAUGCUGCUAAAAAGACAAAGAAAUCCAUCAGUCUGAGGAAGAAAUCUUCAAAGUGAAUUUGAUUUUUUGAGGACCUUCAGUUUCACAAAGAUGAGCAUGUAUAAGAGUCAUUUGAUAAUCAAUGACCUUCACAGACAAUGUAUUACAAGUGAAAUUUUAUUGUCAGGCAACUCUCUCUUCAAAUAAUGUUUAAAUGUUGUAAUAUACUGAAAAUUAUGUACAGUGUACCUAUAUUAUGUUCCAAUAAUGUAUAUUUUGUGAGAAAUAGUACACGGUUUACAGCAUACAUAGAAAUCAGUACAUUAAAUAAUUCAAUGAUUCAGAAAUCAUGAAUUUGUUUUCAAUGAUGUUCUAUUAUGAAACUUAAAGCAGCAUUCUGAUAUUACAAUCUAGUAUGUUUAAAAUGUUUUGUGAAUCACAUAUAGGAUAAAGGUUUCAAGUACUAACAGUCGAUUUGAUAUUUGUAAUACACCUUAUGAUGAUGCUCUGAUAUGAUUUGUAAAUUGUAAUCUGUAUAGUAUGAUAUCAUAGACACUUCGAGGUCAUAUUGGGCAAGGUGUACGUCGAACCCAAUGUUUUUCUUUUCAAGGACCCCCAUAUAUUUACGUAUUACCCCUCUAGGUGUCUUUAAAACGAAUUUAUCCUGCUAAUGAUUUUACAUUGAUUAAAGGCAUAUUGACA